GCGUCGCUGCGCGGUGCGUUUGAGACACAAUCCCCGGGGCCUUAAUGAUCCCCACGGGAGCUGUUCCUGACCGGGCCCGUGGGCCCGGACACACGGCGCCCACCUACGUUGUAGGUUCCCGGGAUCACAACCUCGGACGGCCGAGGCGGCUUCGCC
Molecule: non-coding RNA, 156 nt
Filed under: Breoghania sp. L-A4
Lineage: Bacteria; Pseudomonadati; Pseudomonadota; Alphaproteobacteria; Hyphomicrobiales; Stappiaceae
Description: 6S / SsrS RNA
Rfam family: 6S / SsrS RNA
About the family: E. coli 6S RNA was the first non coding RNA to be sequenced, but its function was unknown until recently. It consists of 184 nucleotides that fold into an extended hairpin structure with a large single-stranded internal bulge. The 6S RNA specifically associates with RNA polymerase holoenzyme containing the sigma70 specificity factor.
Source: Rfam by way of RNAcentral